This 231-nucleotide long non-coding RNA is filed under the name Mytilus galloprovincialis (Mediterranean mussel). Lineage: Eukaryota; Metazoa; Mollusca; Bivalvia; Mytilida; Mytilidae. The record is from RNAcentral.
GUUUUCGUCGAGGUCCGCGUUCAUGGAUUGUAAACACUGUUGAGUUCGGUUUACAUAAGAAUUUGAAAUGUAUACGUAUCCGUCCGAUCCGUGCAUAGAUUUGAUUUACUGAUCGAUCGAUGACCGUUGUCACGGUAACUCUCACAUAGGUUGUUUGACUUAUCUGACGGAUUCUAUGGGUCAUCGAUCACCGAUCACUCAUCGAUCAGUCAAACAUCCGUCACCGAUCAU